Molecule: microRNA, 20 nt
Filed under: Anolis carolinensis (green anole)
Lineage: Eukaryota; Metazoa; Chordata; Lepidosauria; Squamata; Anolidae
Description: aca-miR-5442
Source: miRBase by way of RNAcentral
ACAGGCAAGGGGAAGCGGUA